GACGAACGCUGGCGGCGUGCCUAAUACAUGCAAGUAGAACGCUGAAGGAGGAGCUUGCUUCUCUGGAUGAGUUGCGAACGGGUGAGUAACGCGUAGGUAACCUGCCUGGUAGCGGGGGAUAACUAUUGGAAACGAUAGCUAAUACCGCAUAAUAGCAGUUGUUGCAUGACAACUGUUUGAAAGGUGCAAUUGCACCACUACCAGAUGGACCUGCGUUGUAUUAGCUAGUUGGUGGGGUAACGGCUCACCAAGGCGACGAUACAUAGCCGACCUGAGAGGGGGAUCGGCCACACUGGGACUGAGACACGGCCCAGACUCCUACGGGAGGCAGCAGUAGGGAAUCUUCGGCAAGGGACGGAAGUCUGACCGAGCAACGCCGCGGGAGGGAAGAAGGUUUUCGGAUCGUAAAGCUCUGUUGUAAGAGAAGAACGAGUGUGAGAGUGGAAAGUUCACACUGUGACGGUAUCUUACCAGAAAGGGACGGCUAACUACGUG
RNAcentral lists this ribosomal RNA (495 nucleotides) under uncultured bacterium. RNAcentral's name for it is "partial 16S ribosomal RNA". It matches the Rfam family "Bacterial small subunit ribosomal RNA", at positions 28 to 507 of the family's 1533-position model. The record is from RNAcentral.